AAAGCGUUGACCGAGGUACAUUUUGUAUGAAGCGUGGAAACAUUCAUUCUAAAAAUGUGUGCGCAGUAAACUCAUUUACAACCGAAGUUACAAAAAGAAGAAUUCAAUACUUAUAAUUACAUUUUUUAGCUAGGAUCAUGAAAACACGAUUUUCAUCAAGUUUUUAUUUAAUUUACCUGUGCACUAUAUUGUGGACCUCUUGUCAUCAUGAAUGAUAAAUUUUAUUGUGUAAUGCAAUUGCCUAAGGCAUAACGUGAGACUGCAGUGUAGCCAAUCAGAAUAACAUAUUAUAAUGAAACAUACAUCUAAUGUAAUUAUUGUCCAAUGGCAAAUAUUUCAUGCAUAAUCAGGAUAAUACUGUGUCCAAUUUAUAGAAAAUACUGACUAACAUCAAUAAAUCUACCUUGUGAUAAUCUUGCUUGAAAAUAAAUACAUUGUCACUAAAGAGGGUCUGGAUGGGUGUUACAUAAUAGAGAAAAGUGGCGAAAAAAGGUUAGAGAAAAAUUGGAUGAAUUAAGAAUGGAAAAUAAUGGGGAGCGCAAACCAAAAAAAUAGAAAAACAGAAUGUUAUUUUGAGAAUAGCUAAUAAAUACCUAAAUAAUUAAAAAGUACAGAUGUAGCAAACAAACCUAGAUGUUCCCAGGAUUGUGGGGUUAGAUGAUCCCUGACCAGAUCACAUUAAACUUUUUUUAUAAAAAUUGUAUGUGUUGCUUCUCCACCAAACAUACUGUAGUUUGGGCAAAGGUUAUUGGACUCAUGUAAUUUUGCUGGCUACUAUUGGGUAGGUGUGUUGGUCUUGUACAAAUAUGCAUGUAAUAUUUGUUGCUGGAUGUUCAGCAUCAAUCCAUUAAUAAUUUUGGAGGAUUUCUAUUAUAAAGUUCACAGCAAAU
This 890-nucleotide long non-coding RNA is filed under the name Mytilus galloprovincialis (Mediterranean mussel). Lineage: Eukaryota; Metazoa; Mollusca; Bivalvia; Mytilida; Mytilidae. The record is from RNAcentral.